Molecule: ribosomal RNA, 491 nt
Filed under: uncultured bacterium
Lineage: Bacteria
Description: bacterial SSU rRNA
Rfam family: Bacterial small subunit ribosomal RNA
Source: RNAcentral
AGUAGUUUGAUCAGUGGCUACGAGGACGAACGCUGGCGGCGUGCUUAACACAUGCAAGUCGAGCGAGGUCCAACCGGUGGCAACACCGGGGAAGACCUAGCGGCGAACGGGUGAGUAACACGUGAGAAACCUGCCCCGAAGUUCGGGAUAACCCGGGGAAACCCGAGCUAAUACCGGAUACCCACGAUUGGUCGCAUGGCCGAUCGUGGAAAGAACUUCGCUUCGGGAGGGUCUCGCGGCCUAUCAGCUUGUUGUGGGGUAACGGCCCACCAAGGCAUCGACGGGUAGCUGGUCUGAGAGGACGAUCAGCCACACUGGGACUGAGACACGGCCCAGACUCCUACGGGAGGCAGCAGUGGGGAAUCUUGCGCAAUGGGCGAAAGCCUGACGCAGCAACGCCGCGUGCGGGAUGAAGGCCUUCGGGUUGUAAACCGCUUUCAGUAGGGACGAAAUUGACGGUACCUACAGAAGAAGCCCCGGCCAACUACGUG